Molecule: ribosomal RNA, 2933 nt
Filed under: Pectobacterium brasiliense
Lineage: Bacteria; Pseudomonadati; Pseudomonadota; Gammaproteobacteria; Enterobacterales; Pectobacteriaceae
Description: bacterial LSU rRNA
Rfam family: Bacterial large subunit ribosomal RNA
Source: RNAcentral
GGGUUGUGAGGUUAAGCGACUAAGCGUACACGGUGGAUGCCUAGGCAGUCAGAGGCGAUGAAGGGCGUGCUAAUCUGCGAUAAGCGUCGGUAAGCUGAUAUGAAGCGUUAUACCCGACGAUACCCGAAUGGGGAAACCCAGUGUGUUUCGACACACUAUCAUGACAUGAAUACAUAGUGUCAUGAGGCGAACCGGGGGAACUGAAACAUCUCAGUACCCCGAGGAAAAGAAAUCAACCGAGAUUCCCCCAGUAGCGGCGAGCGAACGGGGAGGAGCCCAGAACCUGAAUCAGUUUGUGUGUUAGUGGAAGCGUCUGGAAAGUCGCACAGUAAAGGGUGAUAGUCCCGUACACAAAAAUGCACAAGUUGUGAGUUCGAUGAGUAGGGCGGGACACGUGACAUCCUGUCUGAAUAUGGGGGGACCAUCCUCCAAGGCUAAAUACUCCUGACUGACCGAUAGUGAACCAGUACCGUGAGGGAAAGGCGAAAAGAACCCCGGCGAGGGGAGUGAAAUAGAACCUGAAACCGUGUACGUACAAGCAGUGGGAGCCUACUUGUUAGGUGACUGCGUACCUUUUGUAUAAUGGGUCAGCGACUUAUAUUCUGUAGCAAGGUUAACCGUAUAGGGGAGCCGCAGGGAAACCGAGUCUUAACUGGGCGUUAAGUUGCAGGGUAUAGACCCGAAACCCGGUGAUCUAGCCAUGGGCAGGUUGAAGGUUGGGUAACACUAACUGGAGGACCGAACCGACUAAUGUUGAAAAAUUAGCGGAUGACUUGUGGCUGGGGGUGAAAGGCCAAUCAAACCGGGAGAUAGCUGGUUCUCCCCGAAAGCUAUUUAGGUAGCGCCUCGUGAAUUCAUCUUCGGGGGUAGAGCACUGUUUCGGCUAGGGGGUCAUCCCGACUUACCAACCCGAUGCAAACUACGAAUACCGAAGAAUGUUAUCACGGGAGACACACGGCGGGUGCUAACGUUCGUCGUGAAGAGGGAAACAACCCAGACCGCCAGCUAAGGUCCCAAAGUCAUGGUUAAGUGGGAAACGAUGUGGGAAGGCAUAGACAGCCAGGAUGUUGGCUUAGAAGCAGCCAUCAUUUAAAGAAAGCGUAAUAGCUCACUGGUCGAGUCGGCCUGCGCGGAAGAUGUAACGGGGCUAAACCAUGCACCGAAGCUGCGGCAGCGACACGUAGUGUUGUUGGGUAGGGGAGCGUUCUGUAAGCCUGCGAAGGUGGCCUGUGAGGGCUGCUGGAGGUAUCAGAAGUGCGAAUGCUGACAUAAGUAACGAUAAUGCGGGUGAAAAACCCGCACGCCGGAAGACCAAGGGUUCCUGUCCAACGUUAAUCGGGGCAGGGUGAGUCGACCCCUAAGGCGAGGCUGAAAAGCGUAGUCGAUGGGAAACAGGUUAAUAUUCCUGUACUCGGUGUUACUGCGAAGGGGGGACGGAGAAAGCUAGGUUAUCCGGGCGACGGUUGUCCCGGUUUAAGCGUGAAGGUGGGUGACUUUGGUAAAUCCGGGUCAUCGUUAACACUGAGGCGUGAUGACGAGUCACUACGGUGAUGAAGUAACCGAUGCUACGCUUCCAGGAAAAGCCUCUAAGCUCCAGGUAACAUCAAAUCGUACCCCAAACCGACACAGGUGGUCAGGUAGAGAAUACUCAGGCGCUUGAGAGAACUCGGGUGAAGGAACUAGGCAAAAUGGUGCCGUAACUUCGGGAGAAGGCACGCUGAUGGUAGGUGAAGUGACUUGCUCAUGGAGCUGAAAUCAGUCGAAGAUACCAGCUGGCUGCAACUGUUUAAUAAAAACACAGCACUGUGCAAACACGAAAGUGGACGUAUACGGUGUGACGCCUGCCCGGUGCCGGAAGGUUAAUUGAUGGGGUCAGCCGCAAGGCGAAGCUCUUGAUCGAAGCCCCGGUAAACGGCGGCCGUAACUAUAACGGUCCUAAGGUAGCGAAAUUCCUUGUCGGGUAAGUUCCGACCUGCACGAAUGGCGUAAUGAUGGCCAGGCUGUCUCCACCCGAGACUCAGUGAAAUUGAACUCGCUGUGAAGAUGCAGUGUACCCGCGGCAAGACGGAAAGACCCCGUGAACCUUUACUAUAGCUUGACACUGAACCUUGAGCCUUGAUGUGUAGGAUAGGUGGGAGGCUUUGAAGCGUGGACGCCAGUCUGCGUGGAGCCAACCUUGAAAUACCACCCUUUAAUGUUUGAUGUUCUAACGUGGACCCGUAAUCCGGGUUGCGGACAGUGUCUGGUGGGUAGUUUGACUGGGGCGGUCUCCUCCCAAAGCGUAACGGAGGAGCACGAAGGUUAGCUAAUCCUGGUCGGACAUCAGGAGGUUAGUGCAAAGGCAUAAGCUAGCUUGACUGCGAGAGUGACAGCUCGAGCAGGUGCGAAAGCAGGUCUUAGUGAUCCGGUGGUUCUGAAUGGAAGGGCCAUCGCUCAACGGAUAAAAGGUACUCCGGGGAUAACAGGCUGAUACCGCCCAAGAGUUCAUAUCGACGGCGGUGUUUGGCACCUCGAUGUCGGCUCAUCACAUCCUGGGGCUGAAGUAGGUCCCAAGGGUAUGGCUGUUCGCCAUUUAAAGUGGUACGCGAGCUGGGUUUAGAACGUCGUGAGACAGUUCGGUCCCUAUCUGCCGUGGGCGUUGGAAGAUUGAGAGGGGUUGCUCCUAGUACGAGAGGACCGGAGUGAACGCACCACUGGUGUACGGGUUGUGAUGCCAAUUGCAUUGCCCGGUAGCUAAGUGCGGAAGAGAUAACCGCUGAAAGCAUCUAAGCGGGAAACUUGCCUCGAGAUGAGUCUUCCCUGGGCACUAGAUGCCCCUGAAGGGCCGUUGAAGACGACGACGUAGAUAGGCUGGGUGUGUAAGCGUAGCGAUACGUUGAGCUAACCAGUACUAAUGACCCGAGAGGCUUAACCUUACAACACCGAAGGUGUUU